Long non-coding RNA from Passer domesticus (house sparrow), 1776 nucleotides. RefSeq lists it as uncharacterized. The transcript is spliced from 3 exons. Lineage: Eukaryota; Metazoa; Chordata; Aves; Passeriformes; Passeridae. The record is from RefSeq and is a predicted model, not a curated record.
ACGAGGCUCUGGGGAUUAAUGAAGUGAUUUCACUGCUGGUUUUGUGGGGCAAUAAGCCCGAAGUCAGAGCUCUUUGGGCUGGCUGCACCCGGCUGAGGUCAGACUUCAGCAUCCAAACCCUGCUCAGGGCCCUGGCUCGGCAGCUUUGCGAGGCUGAGCCUUGGAUGAGCUUCCCAACAAAGCCUUUCCCAGGCUGGACAGGGCUUGGAGCAACCUGGUCUAGUGGAAGAUGUCCUUGGCCAUUCAGGGAUGGGUCAUGCUGAGGUUGGAAGAGGAGCCAGGGGAACGAGGAGCUGGAUAAAUGUGGGGUGAAUACGGAGCUUGGAAGGCCGGAGCUGUCACUCCCACAUCCUCCAGCAGCUCCAGAGAAAACCAAUACCCACGAACUCACUGGGAAAGGCCAAGGCAGGAAAAAGGGAAAGGUUGAUUACAGGAAAGUGGGAUAUAGAUACAGGGAGAGCUAAGUCAGGAAAAGUUCAGCUCCUUCAAGGUCCAAGUUAAACACGUGUUAAUGAACCUGCCCCUUCCACAGGCUCCCACACAAAAGUCGGAUGUGUCAAGCCCUGGGGUCUGGCUGCCACGCCAGGAAUUAGCCAAAAAAUGAGGUUCUGCAGCAGCCCCACGAGCAGCUGCCCUGGGGAGGGAGCUUUGGGCUGGUGACACUGGGCUGGAGCUGUGCUGAGUGUUGUGACAAGCUCUGCUGGGGGGAGCAUGUCCCAGCUCUGGGGUUGGGUGUGUGGGAAGGUUUUGGGGGCGACCUCCUGUGUUCUGCUCAGCCCAAAUCCAUUCCUCAUGUGUUGUCUCCCCUUUUAUCCGGUCUGGUUUCAGCAGCACAGCUUCCAGCCUUCUGCAAAGGAGGCUAUUCCCCUUGCUCAUAAAUCUCCUAUCAGGAAGCUGUUUCCAAGAUUAAAGCUUUAAACGUUUCCCCUCUCUGGUUUCACGUCCCAGCUCCCAAUUCCCUCCCUGCUGCAAUCACCAGCUCCAUCCCCUCCAUCUGGACACUCAGUGCCUCACACCACGCUCUGUCUGCUCCAGGAAAACCUGUGCUGGGACACUCUGGAACGGGGCUGUGCUCCUCCAGAGCUUGGAAACGGCCGCUGCAGGCUGUGUGUCAUGGAGUUUGGAAAGCUCUCCCCGCUGCAGGUCCCUCCUGGCUGCGUGAAGAGCUGACUUAGCGUUUGGAGGAGCUGAAGGUUGCCUAAUCCCUCGUGGCUCAGCCUGUUGGGAAUUAGGGGAGUUGAGGAGCUGGACAGGAAAGGUGCUCGCCUUCAAGUCUUUAUCUGGCCUCUUCUAAUGCCCUGUGUGCCACCAGAUAAAAUCUUGUGUGCGUUUUUAAUUUUUAUUUUUACGCGAGAAAGCAACGCUGAAGUUUCCUCCUGACAUUUAACUCAGUCAGUGAGUGACAAACCCAAUAAACAUUCCUGUUUCGCUGGGACAAAGGCUCCAAGAUCCUGCUGGGACUAAAAUGUUUCAUCAUUUCCGAAGUAAAACGUUUCAGUUUAGAAAAAAAAUAAGAACAACAACUAAAAAUGACACGUUUCAAUGUUUUUCUAAUUAUUUUCUCCACUUUGGCUGGAGCUAUUUGUCAAAUCUGGCCUGGCUUCUCAAGUAGCUUUGGAACCUUCCAAAACUGCUAUUUUGGGCACUUUUCCUGUUUCUGAUGAAUAAGUUUGAUCCCUGCCCUGCGUUCCUGUUCAUUCCAGGUGUUUUCUGGGGUGUCCUACAGGUGGAUGGAGCCUUGGUGCCAUGGCAGGGACACCUCCCACCAUCCCAGGU